UACGUAGGGUGCGAGCGUUAAUCGGAAUUACUGGGCGUAAAGCGUGCGCAGGCGGUCUUGCAAGACAGUGGUGAAAUCCCCGGGCUCAACCUGGGAACGGCCAUUGUGACUGCAAGGCUGGAGUACGGCAGAGGGGGAUGGAAUUCCGCGUGUAGCAGUGAAAUGCGUAGAUAUGCGGAGGAACACCGAUGGCGAAGGCAGUCCCCUGGGCCUGUACUGACGCUCAUGCACGAAAGCGUGGGGAGCAAACAGGAUUAGAUACCCUGGUAGUCCACGCCCUAAACGAUGUCAACUGGUUGUUGGGGAUUUACUUCCUCAGUAACGAAGCUAACGCGUGAAGUUGACCGCCUGGGGAGUACGGCCGCAAGGUUAAAGCUCAAAG
This 382-nucleotide ribosomal RNA is filed under the name uncultured bacterium. RNAcentral describes it as "bacterial SSU rRNA". It matches the Rfam family "Bacterial small subunit ribosomal RNA", at positions 524 to 906 of the family's 1533-position model. The record is from RNAcentral.